Molecule: ribosomal RNA, 478 nt
Filed under: uncultured bacterium
Lineage: Bacteria
Description: partial 16S ribosomal RNA
Rfam family: Bacterial small subunit ribosomal RNA
Source: RNAcentral
GACGAACGCUGGCGGCGUGCUUAACACAUGCAAGUCGAACGGUAAGGCCCUUCGGGGUACACGAGUGGCGAACGGGUGAGUAACACGUGGGUGAUCUGCCCUGCACUUCGGGAUAAGCCUGGGAAACUGGGUCUAAUACCGGAUAGGACCACUGCCUGCAUGGGUGGUGGUGGAAAGCUUUUGCGGUGUGGGAUGGGCCCGCGGCCUAUUAGCUUGUUGGUGGGGUGAUGGCCUACCAAGGCGACGACGGGUAGCCGGCCUGAGAGGGUGACCGGCCACACUGGGACUGAGAUACGGCCCAGACUCCUACGGGAGGCAGCAGUGGGGAAUAUUGCACAAUGGGCGCAAGCCUGAUGCAGCGACGCCGCGUGAGGGAUGACGGCCUUCGGGUUGUAAACCUCUUUCAGCACCGACGAAGCGCAAGUGACGGUAGGUGCAGAAGAAGGACCGGCUAACUUCGUGCCAGCCGCCGCGGUAA